UAACAUAAUGUUGUCUCUACUUUAGGAGGUGAUCCAUCCUUUAAAUCAUCACAGCUACCGUUCUGUAACUCCUGUUAUAAACACCAGAAAAAGAAGAAGUUCCCUCCUCCAGCUGGUCCAAAAUGCUGCUACCAGUCUGUUAACCAGGAGGAAGUGGAACUGAGAGAAGGUCAAAUCCAGAUCUAAGAGGAGACGGAGAGAUUCAGGGAGGAGCUAAGAUGUUACUGAACUAUAGAAGAGAGAGGAACUUCUGUAUUCAGCAGAGUUCAAUACACAAACCAUCAACAUUACCUUCAUUCAACAUGCUCUCAUUGGACUGUUAUGGACUUUCUCUACUGUUUGUCACUAUUCUAACAGGUGUCAGCUGUGAAGAACUCACUCCAGUCAAGAAUGAAGAGUCCAGUUUAGAAGACAGCACUGUUACUCUGUCCUACACAUACUCUAAACUGAAACCUACUGGUAGUGAUUAUUUCUUCUGGUAUCGACAAUAUCCAGGAAAACCACCAGAGUUCAUCAUCUCACACUCUUCUUCAGGAGAAGUAGGACUUUUUAAAGUCACUGGACUGAAGAUUAAAGUGGAUCAGAACCAGAAGCAAAUCCAUCUGAACAUCUCCUCUGCUGCAGUGUCACACUCUGCUGUGUACUACUGUGCUGUGAAGCCCACAGUGACAGGAAACACCUAAACUCUGUACAAAAACCU
Molecule: non-coding RNA, 700 nt
Organism: Sebastes umbrosus (honeycomb rockfish)
Lineage: Eukaryota; Metazoa; Chordata; Actinopteri; Perciformes; Sebastidae
Source: the annotation of a RefSeq genome assembly